This 508-nucleotide ribosomal RNA is filed under the name uncultured bacterium. Its description in RNAcentral is "partial 16S ribosomal RNA". It matches the Rfam family "Bacterial small subunit ribosomal RNA", at positions 28 to 523 of the family's 1533-position model. The record is from RNAcentral.
GAUGAACGCUAGCUACAGGCUUAACACAUGCAAGUCGAGGGGAAACGACAUCGAAAGCUUGCUUUUGAUGGGCGUCGACCGGCGCACGGGUGAGUAACGCGUAUCCAACCUGCCCACCACUUGGGGAUAACUUUGCGAAAGUAAGACUAAUACCCAAUGACGUCUCUAGAAGACAUCUGAAAGAGAUUAAAGAUUUAUCGGUGAUGGAUGGGGAUGCGUCUGAUUAGCUUGUUGGCGGGGUAACGGCCCACCAAGGCGACGAUCAGUAGGGGUUCUGAGAGGAAGGUCCCCCACAUUGGAACUGAGACACGGUCCAAACUCCUACGGGAGGCAGCAGUGAGGAAUAUUGGUCAAUGGACGAGAGUCUGAACCAGCCAAGUAGCGUGCAGGAUGACGGCCCUAUGGGUUGUAAACUGCUUUUAUAAGGGAAUAAAGUGAGAGUCGUGACUCUUUUUGCAUGUACCUUAUGAAUAAGGACCGGCUAAUUCCGUGCCAGCAGCCGCCGUAA